Molecule: long non-coding RNA, 405 nt
Organism: Daphnia pulicaria
Lineage: Eukaryota; Metazoa; Arthropoda; Branchiopoda; Diplostraca; Daphniidae
Exons: 3
Source: RefSeq, a predicted model, not a curated record
GCGGUAGUGUUGCAGAUUUCCGUAACGGCACAUAUCUUGAUUGCGUAACGAAAAAGUGAAAAACUGUACUUAUGGGUCCUACAAUGACUACCAGCUGAUGACGCUGAUUUCAGCUUACGAACCCCUUAACUACGCUGGGUGUUUUGCCGCCACGCUAAGCACGGCUUUGGCCAGCUACAUUUCGUGCCCAAAGCUACUCCAGGUGAUUGGUGAUGACAAACUCUAUCCUCACUGGAUGGUUGGUUGGAUGACCAAAUAAGGAUACGGCAAAUCUAACGAGCCUCACCUUGCUUACCUGUUCACUUUCUUCUUGGCACUUGGUUUCAUCUUAAUUGCCCAGCUGGACAUGAUCGCCUUUCUGAUUUCUGAUCUCUUUCUGAUCACGUUCGCCUUUUUUUAAACUGA